Andrographis paniculata is the source of this 3371-nucleotide RNA transcript. It is a transcript of the gene named bifunctional TH2 protein, mitochondrial-like, with no coding region annotated. The transcript has 7 exons. The record is from RefSeq and is a predicted model, not a curated record. Lineage: Eukaryota; Viridiplantae; Streptophyta; Magnoliopsida; Lamiales; Acanthaceae.
GUUGGGCUACUCAUAUUUAUGCCUGUUGAACUUGAUUUAUAAUCACUGCAAUCUUUGAGAGAGAGAGAGCCACUGUUAAGUUCACCAAUGAAGAAGUCUGUUGUUGACAACCCAUGGGCUAUGAAUUAAAUAACAAUCUAUGUAAUUUAUGGCUAAUCAGCACCACGAUUAGCCAUAAAUUACAUAUAUAGCCCAUCCCAAUAGGGGUAUUGGCUGAAUCUUGUCUUCAAAUUAUAUUGUUGUUAUUAUUAUUAUUAUUAUUAGUAUUACAGCCUGUCUGCCGGUAUGUGGGUGGAUCUUAAAAUGUAUGACAAUAGCAGCAGCUGUUUAUAGUUUUCCAAGAAAGUUGUUCUUUGUUGGAUCCACGCCGUCGGUGAUAAGAUGGACGGACGAUGUGGAUGCUGGGACCAUUCUUGACUUAUUUCUACUAAUAAUAAUAAGUUGGUCGCCAUCAAUUAAAUUAAUUAAUUAUCCAACUUGUGAUUAAUUAAUUAAUUAUAACUUCACAUCUACGGCGGGCGUACAAGGUUGACAUCCUGUAGAAGCCCCAGGAAUUGGACUACCGGCCCAAUCCCCACUUGCACUUGCCACGGCGUACGAUCAGGACUUGAGAUCCACCACUUCCCGAUCCCGAUCACGAUCUAUAUAUUAAUUAAUUAUUUAAAGUAAUAGCUGCUGUAUGCUACUCCCAUUCUUCAUCCCAACGGUAAAUCCAACGAUACCUGCCUGCCUGCCUGUUCAAAUCCAAAUCCAAAACAUCUCACGAGAAUCCAUCCCAUUCCAUCUCAUCGAAGCUCCGUUGACGCUCUCGUCCUCGCCGCCGCCGUGCUUUUUCACUUUUUGGUAGGUAGGUAGUUAGGUAGGUGAAGUUACGCGGAUUCGUCCUCCCGCUAUUUUGGACUUGCUGAGCUGAGCUGAGGUGAGGCAGACAACAUUCCAAAUCCUCCAACGAAGAAGCGUCUUCUGCAAUCAAUCGACUCACACACACGAAGACGAAGUCGAUGGAGAAGGAGAAGAGGAAGAAGCUGCAGCAGCUCUACCCUACCGCCUUCUUUUUCUAAUAUAGACCGACCGACAGACAGACAUAUUCAGCAGUCAGUUGCAUAAGGAUUUCCAGGGUAAUGGGGAGCUUGAAGGUGGAGGAGAGAUCAUUGGACGAAGGCGGCAUCGCGAAGAGGCUGUGGAACAAGCUGGAGACCGAGAGAGCUUCGGCUCUCUAUAGCCCCUAUGUGCUCUCUUUGGCCGCUGGGGAUUUGCACCCUAAUUCCUUCCUCCAUUGCAUCUCCCAGGAUGUUUACUUUCUUCAGGCUUUUGCUCAGGCGUAUGAAUUAGCGGAGGAAUAUGCAGAUGACGAGGAGGACAAGGAAGCCAUCGCCGAGUUGCGGAAGCGUGUCUUGAACCGGUUACGGAAUCAAGAUGCUCUUAUUUCGGAAUGGGGCUUCAACCCAUCUAAAGAGACUUCUUGUGACGAUGCUACAGCUAAAUACACAGAGUUUUUGAUGGAAACAGCCUCUGGGAAAGUUGGGGGCGAAAAAUUAUCUGUCAACAUUGUUACGCCUUUUGAGAAGACAAAAUUAGCUGCUUAUACACUUAGUGCAAUUUCACCCUGCAUGAGGCUAUAUAGUUUCAUUAGCAAGGAGAUUGUCGCACUUCUCGAUUCCAAUGAAACUGACCACAUCUAUAAGAAAUGGCUCAGCAGCCUUUCCUCUCCAAAAUUCGAGGCAUCAGCAAUGAGAAUUGAAGAGCUACUGGAUAAAUUGAGCGUAUCUCUGACCGGUGAAGAACUAGAUGUUGUAGAAAGGCUAUAUCAUCGAGCCAUGAAACUUGAAUUGGAAUUUAUCUGGUCUCAGUCUGUUCAUCAGAGAACUGUGGUUCCCUUUUUGAGGCUGCAUGACAACUCUGACAACAGAUUUGUCAUAUUUUCUGGAUUUGAUGUUACGUGUACUUCUAUCGAUUCCUCUGCACUUCUUGCCGAGCUUGCAGUAGUAGCAGCAGCUGCCAAUGCUUCAGAAUCUCAGCUUUUGGAGACACCGGCUGCUGACACCCGAGCGAUGUGGAACAAUCUUUUCAGCCAGUAUGCGGAAGAGUAUCAACAGUGUAUAGAAGGCAUCAUACCAGGUCAAGCAGGCACUGAGAAAACUCUCCAAGAGGGAUACGAUUACGAUGGCCUAUGCAAAACCCUGGAGCAAAUAUCCAACGUUGAGAAGAUGGCUACAGAAAGAGUGAUCAAUUCUAAUGUAUUAAGUGGAUUAAAUCUAGAGGACAUAAAAAGGGCCGGUGAGCGCCUCACUUUACAAGAUGGUUGUGAGAAAUUUGUUCAUGAUGUCACACAAAGUGAAUCUUCCGCACCAGAAGUUCAUAUCCUUUCUUACUGUUGGUGUGGAGAUCUAAUCUGGUCUGCAUUCUCAUCAGUGGAACAAACCAAGUUGAACAUACACUCGAACGACUUAGAAUACAAAGAGUCCAUUUCCACUGGCAAAAUGAUAACGAAUAUGUUGUCCCCAACAGACAAGCUUGAUGCAUUCAACAAUAUCACCAACAACAUGAAUGGCUCCAAGCUCACAACAGUUUACAUUGGAGGCUCAGUAGGUGAUUUGCUAUGUCUAUUAGAAGCAGAUAUUGGCAUAGUCAUUGGCUCAGACGCCUCCUUAACGAAUCUAGCUACUCAAUUUGGCAUUAUGUUGGUUCCAUUGUUCUCCGGCCUUGUAAGUAAACAGAGAGAAGUUACGGAAGGUGGCUAUACAGCUUGCAAGAGCAAGGAUAAGGGUGCGCCUAAUAUUCUUUAUACGGUUUCUAACUGGGACGAGAUAUACAUGUUCGUCUUGGGCCGGUAGAUUUCCACUACAUGGAUUGAUUACUACUUUGGAUGGAGGCUGCAGGUAAGUUCCCUUGACCUGUUUUUAGGUGUUGAGGAAUGAUCUGCCUGUGGCAAGUUUUUAUAAUUUAUUGUGUGUGGAUUGACUGAUUGAUUUCUUCAUCAUGUAGUGUGAAAUAAUGCUACUUACUAAUUUGUGAUAUAGGGAGUUGAGAAUAAUCAUCCAUCAUCAUACACUUGAAGAAGAUGGGUAAGUCUUGGCCAUAAAGAAAUUGGAAAACAGCGUGAGCUGUGCUCCAACCAAAUCUAAUAGGAAGAGAGGCCCAAUGCUAGCCUAAACAGUUUCACCGCUAGCCCAUUAAAUGGGCUGUAGAGAACGCUACUUCGAUUCAAACAUAGUGGAGAUCUCGCUGCAAUAAAUUUGUGGACAACUCUAAUUCGAUUGAACUUUUAAAGUAUUUCAUUUAAAUAAAUUGGACGUAGUUGUUUAGUGGAGAAAAGUAUAUUGUGAUUUUCAUUCAAAUUUAAAACCGGGGGAUAUGGUAAACCAAGGAAU